GCCAGCAUGGUGUAAAGGCUUGCGCAUUGGACUAUGACUCUGGAGACUAGGGUUCAAAUCCCAGUUUGGCC
Phrynosoma platyrhinos (Desert horned lizard) is the source of this 71-nucleotide non-coding RNA. NCBI's taxonomy places the organism in Eukaryota, Metazoa, Chordata, Lepidosauria, Squamata, Phrynosomatidae. The record is from the annotation of a GenBank genome assembly.